UCCUGGGAAGAUUGACGAAUUGAGGGCUCUUUCUCUAUCGGUGGAUGGUAUGCACGUCCGUUCUUAGUUUGGGGAUGCGAUUUGUCUGGUUAACUCCGAUACCGCACGAUACUCUAGCCUAUUAAACAGGUGCGUGGUUCUCUGCACCUUGCGCCUUUCUCAGAGGGACAAGCGGCUCCUAGCCGCACGAAACAGAGCAGAAACAGGUCUGUGAUGCCCUUAUAU
This 225-nucleotide ribosomal RNA is filed under the name Ixodes scapularis (black-legged tick). RNAcentral describes it as "eukaryotic small subunit ribosomal RNA". It matches the Rfam family "Eukaryotic small subunit ribosomal RNA", at positions 1229 to 1478 of the family's 1831-position model. Lineage: Eukaryota; Metazoa; Arthropoda; Arachnida; Ixodida; Ixodidae. The record is from RNAcentral.